CCCAGCACACUACAGAGCCCCCUCUUGGCUCUGAAAGCCAAGGAGGAGGUUCCGGAACACCCUCUGGAAGGCAGGACUCCUCCCACACAGGACACCCUUUGGGAGAAAGGUGACACCCUCUGGGUAGAUAUGACUCCUUGGCUACACCCUUCAAGAGAGCUGGGACACCAUUAAGGCUUCAAGUACACCAACUGGAAUGCAUUUCAUGACCAUUAAACCCCUGUGAAGAGGGACAGAACACCUUCUAAGCAGAAAGACUGCCUGGGAGGAAGAGAGAGGAGGCGGGUAGAGGAUAGGACCCCUGGGUUCUGAGAGAGAUGACCCAGGACCUGUACUCCUGGGCCCCCGAGCCAUCACCAGCCUCCCCUCCAGAAAAGCCUGUGCCUGCUGCCCCCUAGUGGACAUGGAGAUUAGGCCAGACCAGGGACAGGGAACUGACAGGUCAAGGAGGGAAGCCAGAGG
Molecule: long non-coding RNA, 462 nt
Filed under: Homo sapiens (human)
Lineage: Eukaryota; Metazoa; Chordata; Mammalia; Primates; Hominidae
Description: non-protein coding lnc-ARHGEF1-3:1
Source: RNAcentral